AUUGAACGCUGGCGGCAUGCUUUACACAUGCAAGUCGAGCGGCAGCGCGGGGGCAACCCUGGCGGCGAGCGGCGAACGGGUGAGUAAUGCAUCGGAACGUAUCCUCGAGUGGGGGAUAACCCAGCGAAAGUUGGGCUAAUGCCGCAUGAGCUCUGAGGAGGAAAGCGGGGGACCUGCGAGGGCCUCGCGCUGGAGGAGCGGCCGAUGUCCGAUUAGCUAGUUGGUGGGGUAAAGGCUUACCAAGGCGACGAUCGGUAGCUGGUCUGAGAGGAUGAUCAGCCACACUGGGACUGAGACACGGCCCAGACUCCUACGGGAGGCAGCAGUGGGGAAUUUUGGACAAUGGGGGCAACCCUGAUCCAGCCAUGCCGCGUGAGUGAAGAAGGCCUUCGGGUUGUAAAGCUCUUUCGGACGGAACGAAAUGGGCGGGACUAAUACUCCUGUCUGAUGACGGUACCGUAAGAAGAAGCACCGGCUAACUACGUG
RNAcentral lists this ribosomal RNA (486 nucleotides) under uncultured bacterium. RNAcentral describes it as "partial 16S ribosomal RNA". It matches the Rfam family "Bacterial small subunit ribosomal RNA", at positions 29 to 507 of the family's 1533-position model. The record is from RNAcentral.